Molecule: ribosomal RNA, 534 nt
Filed under: Canama triramosa
Lineage: Eukaryota; Metazoa; Arthropoda; Arachnida; Araneae; Salticidae
Description: partial 16S ribosomal RNA
Rfam family: Bacterial large subunit ribosomal RNA (bases 147-439)
Source: RNAcentral
AGAUUAAAUAGCCGCAAUUGCGUGCUAAGGUAGCAUAAUCAUAUUGUCUUUUAAAUAAGGACUAGAACAAAAGAUUUUACAUUUCAACUUUUUUAUUUGAAUUAAAAUUUAAAUUUAUUUUAAAUGUAAAAAGACAUUUCUAAAAAAGAAAGACGACAAGACCCUAUCGAACUUUACUUCAGUUUAACUGGGGCAGUUAAUUAAUUAUUAUUUUAAUAUAGAUAAUUAUAUACAAAUCCAUAAAACUGAUAAAUCAGUUACCGUAGGGAUAACAGCGCAAUUAAAUUUUAAAGCUCUUAUUUAAAAAAUAGAUUACGACCUCGAUGUUGAAUUAAUUACCUAUUUUAAGCAAAUUUUAAAAAAGAAAGUCUGUUCGACUUUUAAUAAAUUACAUGAUUUGAGUUCAGACCGGKGUAAGCCAGGUCGGUUUCAAUCUUCUAAAAAGUUUUUAGUAGUACGAAAGGACCUUAAGAUAUAAUUAAAUUAAUUAAUUGGCAGAGAAAUGCAUUAGAAUUAGAAUCUAAAUAAACUUUU